This 200-nucleotide ribosomal RNA is filed under the name uncultured bacterium. Its description in RNAcentral is "partial 16S ribosomal RNA". It matches the Rfam family "Bacterial small subunit ribosomal RNA", at positions 1302 to 1500 of the family's 1533-position model. The record is from RNAcentral.
AGUCUGCAACCCGACUACAUGAAGCUGGAAUCGCUAGUAAUCGCGGAUCAGAAUGCCGCGGUGAAUACGUUCCCGGGUCUUGUACACACCGCCCGUCACACCAUGGGAGUCGGAAAUGCCCGAAGUCUGUGACCCAACCAUUAAGGAGGGAGCAGCCGAAGGCAGGUCGGAUGACUGGGGUGAAGUCGUAACAAGGUAGC